RNAcentral lists this ribosomal RNA (466 nucleotides) under uncultured Granulicatella sp. Its description in RNAcentral is "bacterial SSU rRNA". It matches the Rfam family "Bacterial small subunit ribosomal RNA", at positions 338 to 796 of the family's 1533-position model. Lineage: Bacteria; Bacillati; Bacillota; Bacilli; Lactobacillales; Carnobacteriaceae. The record is from RNAcentral.
CCUACGGGUGGCAGCAGUAGGGAAUCUUCCGCAAUGGACGCAAGUCUGACGGAGCAACGCCGCGUGAGUGAAGAAGGUUUUCGGAUCGUAAAACUCUGUUGUUAGAGAAGAACAAGUGCUAGAGUAACUGUUAGCGCCUUGACGGUAUCUAACCAGAAAGCCACGGCUAACUACGUGCCAGCAGCCGCGGUAAUACGUAGGUGGCAAGCGUUGUCCGGAUUUAUUGGGCGUAAAGCGAGCGGAGGCGGUUCCUUAAGUCUGAUGUGAAAGCCCCCGGCUCAACCGGGGAGGGUCAUUGGAAAAUGGGGAACUUGAGUGCAGGAGAGGAGAGUGGAAUUCCAUGUGUAGCGGUGAAAUGCGUAGAUAUAUGGAAGAACACCAGUGGCGAAGGCGGCUCUCUGGGCUGUAACUGACGCUGAGGCUCGAAAGCUUGGGUAGCAAACAGGAUUAGAUACCCCUGUAGUCC